RNAcentral lists this ribosomal RNA (437 nucleotides) under uncultured bacterium. RNAcentral's name for it is "bacterial SSU rRNA". It matches the Rfam family "Bacterial small subunit ribosomal RNA", at positions 338 to 789 of the family's 1533-position model. The record is from RNAcentral.
CCUACGGGGGGCAGCAGUGGGGGAUAUUGGUCAAUGGGGGAAACCCUGAACCAGCAAUGCCGCGUGAGGGAAGAAGGUCUUCGGAUUGUAAACCUAAGUAGUCAGGGACGAAAGAAAUGACGGUACCUGAAGAGUAAGCUCCGGCUAACUACGUGCCAGCAGCCGCGGUAAUACGUAGGGAGCGAGCGUUGUCCGGAUUUACUGGGUGUAAAGGGUGCGUAGGCGGGUCGACAAGUCAGAUGUGAAAUACCGGGGCUUAACUCCGGGGCUGCAUUUGAAACUGUAGAUCUUGAGUGAAGUAGAGGCAGGCGGAAUUCCUAGUGUAGCGGUGAAAUGCGUAGAUAUUAGGAGGAACACCAGUGGCGAAGGCGGCCUGCUGGGCUUUAACUGACGCUGAGGCACGAAAGCAUGGGGAGCAAACAGGAUUAGAUACCCCG